This 253-nucleotide ribosomal RNA is filed under the name uncultured bacterium. RNAcentral's name for it is "partial 16S ribosomal RNA". It matches the Rfam family "Bacterial small subunit ribosomal RNA", at positions 524 to 776 of the family's 1533-position model. The record is from RNAcentral.
UACGGAGGGGGCUAGCGUUGUUCGGAAUUACUGGGCGUAAAGCGCACGUAGGCGGACAUUUAAGUCAGGGGUGAAAUCCCGGGGCUCAACCCCGGAACUGCCUUUGAUACUGGGUGUCUGGAGGUCGAGAGAGGUGAGUGGAAUUCCGAGUGUAGAGGUGAAAUUCGUAGAUAUCGGGAGGAACACCAGUGGCGAAGGCGGAUCUCUGGGCCUGUUCUGACGCUGAGGCGCGAAAGCUAGGGGAGCGAACAGG